This 253-nucleotide ribosomal RNA is filed under the name uncultured bacterium. RNAcentral's name for it is "partial 16S ribosomal RNA". It matches the Rfam family "Bacterial small subunit ribosomal RNA", at positions 524 to 776 of the family's 1533-position model. The record is from RNAcentral.
UACGGAGGGAGCUAGCGUUGUUCGGAAUUACUGGGCGUAAAGCGCACGUAGGCGGCUUUGUAAGUUAGAGGUGAAAGCCCGGGGCUCAACUCCGGAACUGCCUUUAAGACUGCAUCGCUUGAAUCCAGGAGAGGUGAGUGGAAUUCCGAGUGUAGAGGUGAAAUUCGUAGAUAUUCGGAAGAACACCAGUGGCGAAGGCGGCUCACUGGACUGGUAUUGACGCUGAGGUGCGAAAGCGUGUGGAGCAAACAGG